GUUAGGAGCUUCCUGUCCCGGAAUGGUGGAAGAAAGGCAGGCUUUACCUGCCUUUCUGAUUAUGGAGAAGGAGUAUACCCCUAAUUCAUCUUUUGAGCUUCCAGCUUUGAGAGAAGAUAGAAGAUGCCCACCACUUCAGAUUGCUAAAGGAAAACUCUGGGAAGAAGACAAUAUUAGAGAGGUAACACAGAGACCAGAACCAACCACCUGGAGU
This 214-nucleotide long non-coding RNA is filed under the name Monodelphis domestica (gray short-tailed opossum). RNAcentral's name for it is "lncRNA (ENSMODG00000040196.1)". Lineage: Eukaryota; Metazoa; Chordata; Mammalia; Didelphimorphia; Didelphidae. The record is from RNAcentral.